Molecule: unclassified non-coding RNA, 276 nt
Filed under: Hevea brasiliensis (rubber tree)
Lineage: Eukaryota; Viridiplantae; Streptophyta; Magnoliopsida; Malpighiales; Euphorbiaceae
Source: RNAcentral
GGGUCUUAAGGCCAAACAACCUGCUACAAUUCAGGUUAAGGUGCCCAAGCUUAAUGUUGCUCCGCCCCAACCGGCGCCUGUAGGUGAUGGGGGUGGUGGAAGCGGUGGGGAUGGUGAGGAGGCGGCUGCUAUUGCUUCAGCUCAGAGUAAGCGUGUUGCUUUGCAGAAAAAAGCCGCUGCUGCAUCUAUGGUGGCUGAGGAUUUUGCUAGACGAUUUGAGUCUGGGGAUGUGGAGGGCUCCAUGAAAGAUGUUGGUGGAGAAGAACAGGGUCUAUC